This 557-nucleotide ribosomal RNA is filed under the name uncultured bacterium. RNAcentral describes it as "bacterial SSU rRNA". It matches the Rfam family "Bacterial small subunit ribosomal RNA", at positions 338 to 915 of the family's 1533-position model. The record is from RNAcentral.
CCUACGGGAGGCAGCAGUAGGGAAUAUUGCACAAUGGAGGAAACUCUGAUGCAGCGAUGCCGCGUGAGUGAAGAAGGCCUUUGGGUUGUAAAGCUCUUUCGUCGGGGAAGAAAAUGACUGUACCCGAAUAAGAAGGUCCGGCUAACUUCGUGCCAGCAGCCGCGGUAAUACGAAGGGACCUAGCGUAGUUCGGAAUUACUGGGCUUAAAGAGUUCGUAGGUGGUUAAAAAAGUUGGUGGUGAAAUCCCAGAGCUUAACUCUGGAACUGCCAUCAAAACUUUUUAGCUAGAGUAUGAUAGAGGAAAGCAGAAUUUCUAGUGUAGAGGUGAAAUUCGUAGAUAUUAGAAAGAAUACCGAUUGCGAAGGCAGCUUUCUGGAUCAUUACUGACGCUGAGGAACGAAAGCAUGGGUAGCGAAGAGGAUUAGAUACCCUCGUAGUCCAUGCCGUAAACGAUGUGUGUUAGACGUUGGAAAUUUAUUUUCAGUGUCGCAGCGAAAGCAUUAAACACACCGCCUGGGGAGUACGACCGCAAGGUUAAAACUCAAAGGAAUUGACG